AUGGCGGCCGGUUCAGGGGCUGCGAGCGGUCACGGCUCACGCAGCUCCACCGCUGCUCUGGAAGCGUCUUUGGACCGGCGUUUUCAGGGAGUUUCAAACACUAUGGAGUCAAUACAAGGACUUUCAGCUUGGUGCAUUGAAAACAAGAAACAUCACAGCCUUAUCGUCCGCUACUGGAUGAAGUGGCUCAAGAAAUCUGAUAACAAUCACCGCUUGAAUCUUUUCUACCUUGCCAACGAUGUGAUACAAAACUGCAAAAGAAAGAAUGCCAUCGUUUUUCGUUCAGCCUUCUCAGAGGUCCUUCCUAAUGCUGCUCAGCUCAUCAAAGAUGGGAAGGUUCGCAGGUCAGUGGAAAGGAUCUUUUCCAUUUGGGAAGAAAGAAGUGUGUAUCCCGAGGAGGUCAUUGCCCAGUUCAAAGCCAACUUGAAUAAAAAGGAAAAGGAGCGAGAGAAGCAGAAGGAAAAAGAAAAGGAAAAAGAAAAGGAAAAGGAAAAAGAGGCUACACCUGCAAAUGCUCCUGCUAAUUCCAAAGCUGCCCUGAAAUCCAAGAUUGUGGCGGAGUUCACGCCCCACUCCCUCAUUGAACAAUUGUUAAAAUAUAGGCAAGCUGUUGCCGAAGAAGAGUUUCAAGAAAAGCAGCUGUCAGCUCUCCGGGUGGAUGUCUGCAGCACGGAGGCCCUCAAGAGACUUAAAGAUAAGGCAGGGGGGAACAAAUUUGCCAAGGACUUCGAGGAUGGCAGCCUGAAGCUGCAGGAGUUUGUCAGCUUCCUGGAGAAAGAGUUGAAAGCAGGACCUCCUCUGCUGGAGGCUCUGGGAAACGCAGAUAUUUUCUACGAGAUGCAGUACAAGGAAGUUAAGAUUGUGGCCAAUGCUUACAACGCAUUUGCCAAUCGUGUGGCCAGUCUUAAAAGGAAAUUGGAUUCCCUCAAGUCCACUCUACCUGGACCUGAGGACUCUCCCAUCCCCUCACCAUCUGAAGAUGCCCCCUCCCCCACUGGCUCUGACUCACCCUUUAUGGCAAUGGUGGCUAGCAGAGCCCAGCUCGAUCCAGAUCUGGAUGGAAAGGCCAUGGAUGAAGGAGAAAUGCAGAGUGACAACAGAGACAUGGAGGACAUGGAUAUGUCUGAUGAAGAGACUGAUGCUGCAACUGCAGGGGAUGAUAAGAAAGAAAAGCCAGCUGCUGCCAUGUCUAAGGCUGCAAAGUCAGAUGCGCCUUCAAAGCUUCCAAAUACGCCUGCGAAGGCCUCUAAGAACAAUGCUUCUGCUACUACCACCACAACCACCCCAGUGACUCCCACAUCUGCUACUCCUACAAGUACCCCAGCCACCCCUCUGGGUGUCAAUCUGGCCAAGGUGGACCUGGGAAAGAUCACCUCCAUUCUCAGCUCACUAACCUCCGCCAUGAAGAAUACAGCAAGCCCAUCACCUCGUCCAUCUCCUGGGACACCCACAACCCCAUCUGGCCAAUCAGCAGCCUCCAAAGGAACCCCUCCAAGCCCUGCCUUGGCCAGUAUCCUGUCACGUGUUGAUAUCACACCUGAAGGGAUACUUAAUGCUCUGUCUAAAACCAACACAACAGGUUUGUCCUCUUUCCUGCAUAGUGUGACUAACACCACCUCUGGUGCUGCUGCUGGUACACGAACCUCCCCAGAAUCAGCACCUUCUAAAGCUCUGCACACCAGCACCCCGACCACCCCAACUACCCCAAAAACGAAAGCUGGUCUGGGGAACAGCCACAAGCGAGAAACACCUGGAAGAAUCAGAGACUGGGGGAGAGAGAGACAACUGUCCCCUCCUCCUCCACCACCUCACCCUCCUCGCCCCUCAGCACCUUCUGUCUCUCCCCCCAGCUUAGAAUCCAAAAUCAACAGUUUCCUGCAGGGUAAUCCAGGUUUUAGUCUCGCUCUUGGUGAUGUUAGUCCUGAUGGGGUGGAUGGGACCCCAGUGAGAGACGAGGCAGCCGGCACCCCAACCCAGGAUGAGAUUAUGGACACACCUGCAAGUGUGCCAGAAUCUGUGGGCUCAUCUGGAGGUCAUAACCUCUCACCCACAGCCUACCGCAAUGAACCCUGGGAUGCAGCUAUCACCCCGUCAGGAAGCGGCAACGAUGGAGACUUCCUACCCACCUCCCGAUAUGGCGCUGGAAGAAAGAGCAGCACAAAAUUAAAAGACGAUGAAGUGAUGCAUGUGAGGAAGCUGGUCUCCUCUUCUCCUAGUAAUGACAUGAAGGGUAAGAAGGAUGAACAGCAAAGUCAGCUAAGGAUGAUGGGAAACAACAGAGCAAUGGGAGAGAGGAGGCCCUGUGCCGGCUCUCGUAAGGCAAGCAUUGGUUCAGACGAAGGAGGUCAGUGUGGAAAAAAAGAAGACAAGUUAAAAGGUCAAAUGUCUCCAAGUGGAGAUGGGAAGGAGGGCCAAUACCAUCGUAUUGAGACACUUGUGUCACCCUGCACCGAAGGGGCACCCAUUCAAACUCUAGGCUACUCUAAUAGACCGCUCACUGGAGAGCGCAUAAAGACAGUAGAGAGCAUACGCGUGAUUGGUCGAGGCUCUCGACGGGGCGGAGGAGCUGGAAGUCGACCAGGAGGAGCCAUGUGGUAUGAAGAGGAAGGAUACCUGGAAGCUCAGCCUCCCUCACCACAACUUGUCCCCCCUCCUCUUAACAUUGGCCCAGGGGGCACAGAGGACAUGACCCCCUCUAUGCCUCCUCCUCCCCCACAUCUCCUAAUCCCCCCACAUCUUCACCCUCCUCCGCCCCUUCCUCAUCUUCCUCAAACUCAGUAUCAGUUGCCUUACCACACAGAGAACAUCCAGACUCCUCCUCCAUCACACCUCCACCAAGUUCCUCCUCCUACAUCUCCCUUCUUCAGCACACCUCCAGCAAUCCCUAGACCCCCUCCACCCCCAAUGCCACAGCGCCAUUCCCCUCCACCUACUCACCCUGCUGUACCCACUGCAGUCAUGGUAGGAGGGGUGAUGGUCCCUGCUGACCGGCCUCUGCCACUUCCUCACUCAGUCAGACCUGAAGCUGCAGAGAGAGGUGGAGUAGGGCCAAGAGGAGGCAAAGUGGCCCCCCCACCCCUCAUGUCAUCAUUGCUAGGCGAGCCCCCUAAACUUCCCCGCCCCGGCACAGUAAAAGAGCCCUUUGUUCUCUGCCAUGCACCCCCCCUCCACCGUCCAGGUACCCCUGGUGUUCCUCCACCUUUAUUGGGUAGAGUGAAGGAGCCUCUGAAUCUACCUCUUCCAUCCCCGUCUCCCUCUCCCACAUCAUCUGCAACCUCGCCCUCCACACCUAAUUCCCCUGCAGUUGACACUGCUCCUUCGCGCUCACUUACCCAGUCCGCUACCCUUCCUCUCCAGAAACCUUCUGCUAGUCCUCCAGGGCAGCCCCGCAACCAAAACCCUAACCCUGUUCCCCUCCUCACCUUGCCUACUCCUCGGCCUCCAAUCCUCUCCGUUCCCAUCUCACAGAGAUCCCUGCUGCGAGGCCGAAACCCUCAGCAGCAUAAUCAAGAUCUACCCAUAGGGGGAUUUCGUGGGGGCAAGCGUCCCGGGCCUCCGUUCACAGGUGGUCCCUUGCAUGCACAGAAGAGGCCUUUCCUACCCCCACGCUACUGAAGUGGUCAUCUGCGACAAGCUGAAUGAGAAGUGCAAGCCACACAUCUAGCAGUGCAGUGUGUGUGUUAGCCCUGCUGGUGAAUGCAUCUCCUGCCUUAUCUGAACGACUGCAGAUCUUUGAGGCUCUCAGGGAAAAACGUGGAAAUGGGAAGCGUUUUGAAUCAACAGAAAUGCCCCUCCGUAUCCGG
Molecule: RNA transcript, 3803 nt
Organism: Pelmatolapia mariae (spotted tilapia)
Lineage: Eukaryota; Metazoa; Chordata; Actinopteri; Cichliformes; Cichlidae
Gene: tars2
Gene name: threonyl-tRNA synthetase 2, mitochondrial
Exons: 11
Source: RefSeq, a predicted model, not a curated record